This is a ribosomal RNA of 437 nucleotides. It matches the Rfam family "Bacterial small subunit ribosomal RNA", at positions 341 to 792 of the family's 1533-position model.
ACGGGAGGCAGCAGUGGGGAAUAUUGGGCAAUGGGGGAAACCCUGACCCAGCAACGCCGCGUGAAGGAAGAAGGCCUUCGGGUUGUAAACUUCUUUUACCAGGGACGAAUGAAAUGACGGUACCUGGAGAAAAAGCAACGGCUAACUACGUGCCAGCAGCCGCGGUAAUACGUAGGUUGCAAGCGUUGUCCGGAUUUACUGGGUGUAAAGGGCGUGUAGGCGGAGCUGCAAGUCAGAUGUGAAAUGCGGGGGCUCAACCCCUGAACUGCAUUUGGAACUGUCAAGCUAGAGUAUCGGAGAGGUAAGUGGAAUUCCUAGUGUAGCGGUGAAAUGCGUAGAUAUUAGGAGGAACACCAGUGGCGAAGGCGGCUUACUGGACGAUAACUGACGUUGAGGCUCGAAAGCGUGGGGAGCAAACAGGAUUAGAUACCCUGGUA